AGCGAACGCUGGCGGCAGGCUUACCAUGCAGUCGAGCGGGCAUAGCAAUAUGUCAGCGGCAGACGGGUGAGUAACGCGUGGGAACGUACCUUUUGGUUCGGAACAACUGAGGGAAACUUCAGCUAAUACCGGAUAAGCCCUUACGGGGAAAGAUUUAUCGCCGAAAGAUCGGCCCGCGUCUGAUUAGCUAGUUGGUGAGGUAAUGGCUCACCAAGGCGACGAUCAGUAGCUGGUCUGAGAGGAUGAUCAGCCACAUUGGGACUGAGACACGGCCCAAACUCCUACGGGAGGCAGCAGUGGGGAAUAUUGGACAAUGGGCGCAAGCCUGAUCCAGCCAUGCCGCGUGAGUGAUGAAGGCCCUAGGGUUGUAAAGCUCUUUUGUGCGGGAAGAUAAUGACGGUACCGCAAGAAUAAGCCCCGGCUAACUUCGUGC
Molecule: ribosomal RNA, 433 nt
Filed under: Bradyrhizobium elkanii
Lineage: Bacteria; Pseudomonadati; Pseudomonadota; Alphaproteobacteria; Hyphomicrobiales; Nitrobacteraceae
Description: bacterial SSU rRNA
Rfam family: Bacterial small subunit ribosomal RNA
Source: RNAcentral